RNAcentral lists this ribosomal RNA (484 nucleotides) under uncultured bacterium. Its description in RNAcentral is "partial 16S ribosomal RNA". It matches the Rfam family "Bacterial small subunit ribosomal RNA", at positions 30 to 507 of the family's 1533-position model. The record is from RNAcentral.
AUUGAACGCUGGCGGCAUGCUUUACACAUGCAAGUCGAACGGCAGCACGGGCUUCGGCCUGGUGGCGAGUGGCGAACGGGUGAGUAAUAUAUCGGAACGUACCCAGAAGUGGGGGAUAACGUAGCGAAAGUUACGCUAAUACCGCAUACGAUCUAUGGAUGAAAGCAGGGGACCGCAAGGCCUUGUGCUCCUGGAGCGGCCGAUAUCUGAUUAGCUAGUUGGUGAGGUAAAGGCUCACCAAGGCGACGAUCAGUAGCUGGUCUGAGAGGACGACCAGCCACACUGGAACUGAGACACGGUCCAGACUCCUACGGGAGGCAGCAGUGGGGAAUUUUGGACAAUGGGCGCAAGCCUGAUCCAGCAAUGCCGCGUGAGUGAAGAAGGCCUUCGGGUUGUAAAGCUCCUUUGUCAGGGAAGAAACGGUAGAGGCUAAUAUCCUUUGCUAAUGACGGUACCUGAAGAAUAAGCACCGGCUAACUACGUG